Non-coding RNA from Erythranthe guttata (spotted monkey flower), 196 nucleotides. NCBI's taxonomy places the organism in Eukaryota, Viridiplantae, Streptophyta, Magnoliopsida, Lamiales, Phrymaceae. The record is from Rfam.
AUACCUUUCUCGGCCUUUUGGCUAAGAUCAAGUGUAGUAUCUGUUCUUAUCAGUUUAAUAUCUGAUAUGUGGGCCAUUGGCCCACACGAUAUUAAAUUAAUUUUUUCAGGGGGAGGGUCCACCAAGAUAGCUUGCUAUCUGGGCCUUCGAGCGUCGCCCUAGCGUUGCACUACUGCUUGGGCCUGGCGCAUCCCAC